This 248-nucleotide ribosomal RNA is filed under the name uncultured bacterium. Its description in RNAcentral is "partial 16S ribosomal RNA". It matches the Rfam family "Bacterial small subunit ribosomal RNA", at positions 337 to 602 of the family's 1533-position model. The record is from RNAcentral.
CCCUACGGGGCGCAGCAGUGGGGAAUAUUGCACAAUGGGGGGAACCCUGAUGCAGCGACGCCGCGUGGGUGAAGAAGUCAUUCGGGACGUAAAGCCCUAUCAGCAGGGAAGAAAAUGACGGUACCUGACUAAGAAGCCCCGGCUAACUACGUGCCAGCAGCCGCGGUAAUACGUAGGGGGCAAGCGUUAUCCGGAUUUACUGGGUGUAAAGGGAGCGCAGACGGCGGUGCAAGCCAGGAGUGAAAGCC